GAUGAACGCUGGCGGCGUGCCUAAUACAUGCAAGUCGAGCGAACGGACGAGAAGCUUGCUUCUCUGAUGUUAGCGGCGGACGGGUGAGUAACACGUGGAUAACCUACCUAUAAGACUGGGAUAACUUCGGGAAACCGGAGCUAAUACCGGAUGAUAUUUUGAACCGCAUGGUUCAAAAGUGAAAGACGGUCUUGCUGUCACUUAUAGAUGGAUCUGCGCUGCAUUAGCUGGUUGGUAAGGUAACGGCCUACCAAGGCAACGAUGCAUAGCCGACCUGAGAGGGUGGUCGGCCACACUGGAACUGAGACACGGUCCAGACUCCUACGGGAGGCAGCAGUAGGGAAUCUUCCGCAAUGGGCGAAAGCCUGACGGAGCAACGCCGCGUGAGUGAUGAAGGUCUUCGGAUCGUAAAACUCUGUUAUUAGGGAAGAACAUAUGUGUAAGUAACUGUGCACAUCUUGACGGUACCUAAUCAGAAAGCCACGGCUAACUACGUG
This 497-nucleotide ribosomal RNA is filed under the name uncultured bacterium. RNAcentral's name for it is "partial 16S ribosomal RNA". It matches the Rfam family "Bacterial small subunit ribosomal RNA", at positions 28 to 507 of the family's 1533-position model. The record is from RNAcentral.